CCCUUAGAUGUCCUGGGCUGCACGCGCGCUACACUGAUGUGUUCAAUAAGCACCUAACCUACUCCGAAGGGACUGGGUAACCUUUGCAAAGCACAUCGUGAUGGGGAUAGAUUAUUGCAAUUAUUAGUCUUGAACGAGGAAUUCCUAGUAAGCGCAAGUCAUCAGCUUGUGUUGAUUACGUCCCUGCCCUUUGUACACACCGCCCGCCGCUCCUACCGAUUGAGUGAUCCGGUGAAUACUUCGGAGUGUGAACUCUACAGUUUCUGUUUUGUUCGCGCAAAGUUGAAUAAACCUUAUCACUUAGAGGAAGGAGAAGUCGUAACA
RNAcentral lists this ribosomal RNA (324 nucleotides) under uncultured eukaryote. RNAcentral describes it as "partial 18S ribosomal RNA". It matches the Rfam family "Eukaryotic small subunit ribosomal RNA", at positions 1470 to 1796 of the family's 1831-position model. The record is from RNAcentral.